Long non-coding RNA from Equus caballus (horse), 2902 nucleotides. The record is from Ensembl. Lineage: Eukaryota; Metazoa; Chordata; Mammalia; Perissodactyla; Equidae.
GGAGAACCCACAGGGCUGUCACAGUGACCCGAGCAAGGACUGAGCUGCCCGCUCGCGAGAGCAGGGGAUGGGGGCGGACAGAUGGACAGACUGGAGGCCUGUUUCGAAUUUAGCGUCUUCGAGGUAGGCUGGAGAAGAGGGGGACCCCAGGAUGCCCGUGGAGGGGGGGGGUCACUGGCACGAGUGACCAGGCGUUUGGUGGCUCCGCUUUCUGAGUAGGGGCCACGGGUCUCGUGCGGCUUUGUCGAGAAGGCCCCGGAUCCCAGAGCCUGCGAGGCUCCGACUGCCCAGCAGCCGGGCGCGCCUCGGGCCGUCGGAGCAGGGCCGGACGCGCAGGGACCGCCAGCCGGUCACUACGGCCCAGCCUCGGCCUGAGGACAGACGGGCCAGACGCGGAGGCUGCAGGAGGCCCCGCGCCCGGCAGGUUCACGGCGGUAACCAGGAGGGGCCCCAGGCGGCAGCAUCCUCGCGACCCCAAACCCCGGGGAGGAGGCGCAGGGGGCGCGUCCUGACGCAUCUUCCAGACGCCUUGGACCUCCCAAGGCUGCCUUCUCAGCGCUGCCUCCUUCACAAGCCCUAGUAACGGGAAGUAAACGUAACCACAGAGAAUGUCACAUCAGAUGCUGGGCUUAAUCAGGGCCACGUUCUCAUCGGUCCGGCUGUUCGACUUCUCGGAGGACUCGGCGCCUCAUUCUGCACACGGAGGCAUUUUCCAGUGCAAUCGAGGGAAAGAAAAAAGAGAGGAAGGGACGGAGGGAGGGAAAGGAGAGGAAGGAGAGAGGGGACGUCGGACCCAGAUGAGACCCGAGGUCCUGGAUCCGCUCCGCGCUGUGCUCCCGGGCCCAUCAUCAGCCGCUUCGCCUGCGGGCGUCUCUGAGCCCUCGUGCUGCGCGAUGGGGCGCCGGGCACACGCGCCCCCCGCCUCCUGGGGCGCCGGGGACUGUCGGUGGCCCAGACCCCCGGCUUCAUCAUCACCAGCACGACAGCCCCGCGGCCCCGCGCCGUCGGGAGUGCCCGCCCCGGCCGGCCGCCCCCCAGACCCCGGGGGCAGCGCCGCUCCGGCCCCGCCCGGCUGCGGAGGACACGCAGGGACAGGAGCACUUUCCCGCGUGGACGCGGCCUGGGGAGCAGGGACGGGCCGCCAGCGCUCCCGCCCCCGGCCCCUCUUUCUCCAAGGAGGCAGCCGGAAGGAGCUGGCUGUUCCAUGUUGGGGACAAAUAGACGAUUGGUCCCCGGGUGGCCUUGGCCUUGAGAGGACCGACCUGGCUGUAAAUAGAGGGCUCGCGGGGCGGCCGGGCCUCCGUUUCCUGUGAGUCCAGCUUCUGGGAGGAGCAGAGCGGGCACCUGGAGCCGCGAACCUCCGCCUGGCCUCGCAGGGGAGACCCUGCGCCGCCCCCGCCGGCCCCCACCCGCCCCCUCCCCGUCGAGAGGCAGAGGCCGGCUGCACGUGGCGGUGCCUCCAUCGUCACAGCCACAGGCGGGUCCUCGAGACGCGCCCGACCGCGUCCAGGAGCGCAGGUCGGCCCGCGUGUGAGAAUGGCACGCCUCUUGCUGUGGGUGAUUGUGCAUCCAGGACAAAAAAAAUAAAUUAAAAAGUGCCUUACGGACGGAUGCUGUAGGGCUCCUUUUAUUAUUACACACUCACAACUACACAACGCAGUGAGCCGCCAUUCCUCACUGUAAGGCACGUUCCGGCUUCGGUGAAAAAGUGAUUUUGCAUUCUUUGCCAAAACCCUGCCUUAUCUUUCUCUCAAGACAAGCCUGGUCCUUGUGACUUCGGCUUAUGGGAACCACUGAUGGGGAAGAUGGGAAUGUUUGAAGGUCCUUGUUUCUCCUACAAUACACACACAGUGAUAGGUCCGGCAGGGACUGUGUGCCUCUGGCUAAAAGCAGAUUUCUCCGCUAAGAGCCGAUACAGCCACUGAUGGAAAGCACUCAUUCAGGGGCCACUGAGGACGCAGGGAAAGAUAAAUGAUAAAGAGGCAAUCGAUUUCAGCUGGCUUCAGCCUGUGACGUCUCCAUGCUCACAGGCAGCCUCAGUGCAAUUUACGCAGCGUCAGGGGAUCACCCAGCACGCCGUGACCCAAACCGAGUUCUGCAGAAGCAAGAAGAAAGGUAGACCACCUGUGCUGUGAAUUCAGUGUCUGAUUCUUAAGGUCUUCCCACCAUCCAUUACUCCUCGAACUUGAGAGCAAGAAGUCCUCCAAAACCCUUGCCGACAGCCUGAUUCGUGGCUCCAAGGAUCGGAGAAGGUGGAUCCUGAUCUGGCCUGGGAUAGCUGAAAAAGAAGGAAAAGCCUUGCUUUCAUGAAAAAUAGCUAUCAUGGGCUGGAGUGUGUCCCCCCAAAAUUCAUGUGGUGGUCUUCACUCCCAGGACCUCAGAACGUGAGUGUAUUUGGAGACAGGAUCUUUAAAGAGGUGAUUAAGGUUAAAUGAGGUCAUGAGGGCGGGUCCUAAGCCAAUACCACUGGUGGCCUUAUAAGAGAUUAAGACGCACACAGAGGAAAGACCGUGUGAAGACACAGGGAGAAGACAGCCAUCCACGAGCCAAGGUGAGGCCUCCGAAGAAACAGCCCUGCUGACCCCUUGAUCUUGGACUUCCAGCUUCCAGAACUGUGAGCAAAUCCAUUUCUAUCGUCUCAGUGUCCCAGUCUGUGACCUCCGUUACUUAUUGUUACCUAGCAGACCAACACAACAGCUAUCUUGCCUUUAACUCGGGUCCUGUUCUCUGGAAGCUGACAUUGCUUAGACGCAUGCAGCCCAUGAGUGAAAUAUGACAUGACGUGGUCCUACAUCAAAGUCAAGGCCGAGAGAAAUUUGAACUGGAGCUGAAGUGUUCAAUUUGCACCUGGGCAGACAGCGCUUCUAUAAAAUGUGUUGUCCCUAAAGAGCCCCAAAUGAUC